Siniperca chuatsi (mandarin fish) is the source of this 4309-nucleotide long non-coding RNA. RefSeq lists it as uncharacterized. The record is from RefSeq and is a predicted model, not a curated record. Lineage: Eukaryota; Metazoa; Chordata; Actinopteri; Centrarchiformes; Sinipercidae. The transcript is spliced from 3 exons.
CAGUUGCAGCUCGCUGUUGUCAAGUUUCUGGAGGAGUCGAGGUUCGGAAAUAUUCAGAUUUUGCGGUAAAAUAAAAAAAAAAAAUACUAAAAUAAAAGUUAUAUGUAAUUAACAUGUCAAAGUAAAUAUCCAUAACGGGAGAUUUAAAGAAACCACACUUGGACGAAGAAGACGUGCACGAAACAAGUUAGGAUUUGGCUAACUAGCUUAAAUGAAGCUAAAACCCGCAGGGGACAGCUAGCAUCACGCCCGCAACAACUCAGCCAAGCUCGGCUUUGCCUCCAGCUUAUCAGUGUCAGGCCGAACUCUGUUUUUUUACUGAGGAGCUCAAACACAAAGAAAAUCGGCAAAAUGUCACCUGUUCUUUCAUCACGGAUAUACUUGACAGUUGCCGCCCCCCCCCAAAAAACUUCCGAUGAGAUCUUGCAGCACUUGUCUUCACAACCUCGACUUUACUGCUGCUGGGACGUGAGCUGGCAGAUUCACUGGAUCACGAUGAAAUCAUUCUCCACAUUCAACUCCAAGCCUGCACCUUGUGAUGUAAACUGGAAGCGUCUCCCCCCACAAGCCACCCAUGGUGUCCUCAAACAGAUAGGACCUGAGCCACACGACCUCCUCUCCAGCAUGGAACCUGGAAGAGGACAGACUACACAAACAGACAAACUCAAGCACACAUGUAGGAGAAAGGAACAGACACACACACAGAGGGAGAGAGAGAGACAAGAGGAGAGGCUGAAUCUCCCGGAGGACGAGGAUCCAGAUCCAAAACAUCUGGAGAGAGGCACCGACAGCCAGGAGAGAGAGUGAGGUCCCAGGACUGACAGGAGGCCUGUAUUCUGAGAGCGCAGAGCACGGGGUGGGAUAUAAGGCUUAAGGAGGUCAGAAGAGGCAGAGGGAAACGUGAUUGAUUGAUUGGUCGAUUUCGCCGUCCUCUCUCAAACGGCCAACAAUGACAAGCCAUUUGUGGACAACAUGGCCAAAAUGAAAACUGUACAUUUGCCAGCCAAGCUGUGGUGCCUUCCAGAGAACCCUGAAACCUGAUAGAGAGGCCAAUAUUUUCCUCAUGAAACAGACAACAUGUGCCAACUAAGCCAUCAAAUUACUCAUCAAAUGUUUUGUAUAAUGGCUUCUUUGAGAAUAUAUCAUGUAAGGUUUCACAAGUUCAGCAGUGGUACAUUAUUUUAAUUGACACUUUGAUGUUUGAGAUUUGUGUACACAUAAAAUUAAAAAUAGCACAUGGUUUAAAACAAGCAAGGAUUAUUUUCACAGAUUUCCUAGGUUGAGGUGGUGUGCAAAGGGAGACUGUAAACAGCUCAAAAUCACUGUAAAGGCAAUAAACACAUGGAUGCUCCAGCUACAUCUAGUCAGUGGUGAUCCAUUUUUAAAAUUUACCAGUCUGCAGAUUAUCAAAUGAAAGCCACUAGCAACAUUAUUACUUACUUUCUAUUGUUGCUUACUAUUACAAACACCAGUCCUCUUACAUUUUAAAGUCAGUGUCCCAGUUGCAUGAACCUGUGCUGUAUAGAGAGUGUUUGUAUGGAGAACUGCGGCCAACAUCUACCAGUUAUAGUUUUGGCAUGAAAUGUACGGUGGGGCCAAAAUUGCAUGAUAAUAAAUUCAAACCCUGUAAGGGUGUGUGUGUGUGUGUGUGUGUGGAAGUCAGCACAGAGACUACACACACAAACCACAGAGGAACCACCCUUUUAACAGAGGCUGACUUUAAAGAAUACUCCGCCUGUAAAAGAUUAACUGACUGGUUUAUCUGUAUGGCGGCUACACCCCACCGGUAAUGUAGACUCACACAUGUAGACCUAGGAAUCAUGAGCAUAUGCAAGAAUACACUGCAUAACAAGAAUGUUUUUGUAUAAUUUUGGCUUGACAAAGAGUUUCCACUCAUGUGUGAGGUGUUGUCCAACUUAAGUGGCACUUUGUCAACAGAGCACCGUCCAAUUGUAUGUUUAUAAAACAAGCACAUAAUUAAGCUGACACAAUGUUGAUGGGUGAGCAAUUUAAUCAGUCACAGGCUGUACUUGUACUACAGUAAAUCACCUGCAUCAGUGUUGACAGGCUGCCCAUCCCACAUCCCUACCCAUGUAAACCCUGUCGCACAUGUUUGUGCAUACAGACACGUUUUUAAAGGAGAAAAAAGUAGUUGCUGUUGCUGUGAUGGUGCAGAAUACUCCUGCAUGCUUACAUUUCUGUUGUUUAGUUUUGCUUUCCAAUUUUUCUAGUAUGGAAAGGAAUAACUGGUAAGCUGUACAAUGGAAGUGUCCCAAACAUUUGCUGUCAGUAAUAUUUUAUGGGCUAUGUGCACAAAAUGACCUCAGUUUAAGAGUGGUGCAUUGCAAGUGCAAAGGUUUUCAAACUUUCUACACAAGCAUGGCCUGGGUCUGUUUUUGUUGGGAAUGCUCUGAUCUCCCAGGUGUCCUGACCUACCCACGGUGCACUAUGCACUUCUGCCAAUCUAGAGACAAUCUUUGAGCAUUUGAAAGGUGGAGGUUAGAUUCUGAAAUUUUUUCACAAUCUACAUUUGUUGCCAUUAAAUUUGUACAAUGUGUAAGCGACCAAUGAUGUAGCUGUUAGCCACAGCCAAUGUCGUGGCAGCAUAUUACAUGUCAGCUCACCAAUUCAUUGCUGUAUGUAUUUUACAAACAUCCAACAGUACGCUCAUUGUGCCUUGUCUUCCUAGCUGUUUGUUUGAUCACAAGUUAUAUAUUUUACGUAUACUUACUCACCUUAUUGAGAUGUUGAAUCAUUUGCGAUCAAAGCACAGAGAGCUUCAAAUGCACAUUUCAGAAUAAAAUACAAAACACAAUUUGGUUUUUGAGUAAAUAAAUGAAGCAGUGCCUCUGAUUACAAAAAAGAUAAUGGAUGGCACAAGCCUUUGUACUGUUAUGUAGUAUUUAGUAGCAUCUGCAUGUAUAAUUUGCUUCACAUCCACUCUGGAACCAGUGUGGGACCGUAGUUCACUCAAAUUCAAAAUUUGAACACUCAUUGGUAAUCUGUUCAAAUGAAGCCUGUUCAGCUGGACAGCAUUUCAGUAAGGAACAGAGAAAGUACAUUGCCAGGCUGCUUCACUCAUAUUUCAAAUAUGAGUGUGAGUGUGUGUGUGUUAGUUUGUGUAUUUCAGAGAGUGACACUCGCGCAGAUUGAGACCAAACAGCAUUUAACAAGUUCUGUUCAAACAUUAAUUACUGUCUUGUAUGAGUGUAUCAGAAAAUUGAGUCUGUGCAUCCUCUUGCCUGUGAUAUCACUCCAAUGUGCUGUACUGUUCAAAAUCAACAGAAAAAACAGAAACGUAGAGUGACAUACUAAUUGUGGGUUUCCUAUUCUGUGCCAAUCCUACACCUGUGAGCCAUGUGCAUUUUGGCUGAUCACUUUCAAUUUCUUCCAGUGUUUUUGCCCCAAAGGCAGAUUGACUCACACUUGUUUGAUGGCAAAAAUUAAUGUGAAUCUCUGCCCUAAACAAAUAAAUAAACAGCUAAAGCAAACCUUAUCAUUACUUCUGUUGAGUAGUAGUACAGUGUUUCAUUAUGCCAUAUGGCUACAUUUCAGAGAAAAUCAAAUUUCUCACAAUGACUGAUUUCAUAAGAAACUGGAAGUCCAGCCCUUCCUGUUUCUCAAACAGCGCAUAUCACUUAUACACUUCAUUUUCAAGUCAACAGAUGCCUUUUAGUGAUGAAAAAAAGGAUAACAGGAAACUGCAAGCACCCAAUAUCCUUUGUUGGUUAACAAAAGGAUAAUUUUUACUUUGAUGUAAUUUCCCAUAAAGUUUGACAGAAACAGAAAUUGAAUUUCUGAGCCACCAAGCGAAUGCUGGAUUUUCUUUCAAAUAUUUUGUUACUAUGGGUGGAUUAUCUUCUUAUCUACUGUAUAUCUGUACUCACUUGCUCAUUUUGAAUGUCCACCUUCUUGGUGAUGGCCACCCAGGUUUCUCAUUUAAAAUGCUGAAAAUGUUUGAAUAUGAGAGACCAGUAGCAUUACUUAUUAAAAAAUAUACUGUAUAUAUGCUUUGUCACUUUAGUAGGAUGGAUUGUUAACACUUGCCAACAACACACUGCACUGUAGUUGCUUCUCCAUAACAGUGAAAAUAAGUCUUCGGCCCACCAGAACUUGGCACAGCCUUUAUAUUUCCAUGCUUAUGAGGUGGAGUAUUGCUUUAAACACAUAACAGACAAGAAUUAUGCAAACAUCCCAUUCAUUUUCUAAUGUGAUGUUUUAAGAUCUAUUUCACUGGAAGUGUGUUGUUGUCUUCUUUAAACAGACCACAAGACUAAAUUUCAGAGCACAAAACACUAAAAGCUGUAAU